AGUGAACGCUGGCGGUAGGCCUAACACAUGCAAGUCGAACGGCAGCACAGUAAGAGCUUGCUCUUACGGGUGGCGAGUGGCGGACGGGUGAGGAAUACAUCGGAAUCUACUUUUUCGUGGGGGAUAACGUAGGGAAACUUACGCUAAUACCGCAUAUGACCUACGGGUGAAAGCAGGGGAUCUUCGGACCUUGCGCGAUUGAAUGAGCCGAUGUCGGAUUAGCUAGUUGGCGGGGUAAAGGCCCACCAAGGCGACGAUCCGUAGCUGGUCUGAGAGGAUGAUCAGCCACACUGGAACUGAGACACGGUCCAGACUCCUACGGGAGGCAGCAGUGGGGAAUAUUGGACAAUGGACGCAAGCCUGAUCCAGCCAUACCGCGUGGGUGAAGAAGGCCUUCGGGUUGUAAAGCCCUUUUGUUGGGAAAGAAAAGCAGCAGGUUAAUACCCCGCUGUUCUGACGGUACCCAAAGAAUAAGCACCGGCUAACUUCGUG
Molecule: ribosomal RNA, 492 nt
Filed under: uncultured bacterium
Lineage: Bacteria
Description: partial 16S ribosomal RNA
Rfam family: Bacterial small subunit ribosomal RNA
Source: RNAcentral